This 224-nucleotide long non-coding RNA is filed under the name Homo sapiens (human). RNAcentral's name for it is "non-protein coding lnc-NAXD-2:1". The record is from RNAcentral. Lineage: Eukaryota; Metazoa; Chordata; Mammalia; Primates; Hominidae.
UGUGUGGAUAGGCCGUGGUUACAGUGUGUGGAUAGGCCGUGGUUACAGUGUGUGGAUAGGCCGUGGUUACAGUGCGUGGAUAGGCCGUGGUUGCAGUGUGUGGAUAGACCGUGGCUGCAGUGUGUGGAUAGGCCGUGGUUACAGUGUGUGGAUAGGCCGUGGUUACAGUGUGUGGAUAGGCCGUGGUUACAGUGUGUGGAUAGGCCGUGGUUACAGUGUGUGGA